RNAcentral lists this ribosomal RNA (460 nucleotides) under uncultured bacterium. RNAcentral's name for it is "partial 16S ribosomal RNA". It matches the Rfam family "Bacterial small subunit ribosomal RNA", at positions 338 to 795 of the family's 1533-position model. The record is from RNAcentral.
CCUACGGGAGGCAGCAGUGAGGAAUAUUGGUCAAUGGACGAGAGUCUGAACCAGCCAAGUAGCGUGAAGGAUGACUGCCCUAUGGGUUGUAAACUUCUUUUAUAUGGGAAUAAAACGUUCCACGUGUGGGAUUUUGUCUGUACCAUAUGAAUAAGGAUCGGCUAACUCCGUGCCAGCAGCCGCGGUAAUACGGAGGACCCGAGCGUUAUCCGGAUUUAUUGGGUUUAAAGGGAGCGUAGGUGGAUUGUUAAGUCAGUUGUGAAAGUUUGCGGAUCAACCGUAAAAUUGCAGUUGAAACUGGCAGUCUUGAGUACAGUAGAGGUGGGCGGAAGUCGUGGUGGAGCGGUGAAAUGCUUAGAUAUCACGAAGAACUCCGAUUGCGAAGGCAGUUCACUGGACUGCAACUGACACUGAGGCUCGAAAGUGUGGGUAUCAAACAGGAUUAGAUACCCCUGUAGUC